This 102-nucleotide microRNA precursor is filed under the name Marmota monax (woodchuck). The record is from RNAcentral. Lineage: Eukaryota; Metazoa; Chordata; Mammalia; Rodentia; Sciuridae.
AGUGGGAUAGCUGGGUCAAAUGGUGGUUCCAUUCUCUGUUUCCAAGCAUUCUCCAUACUGCUUUCCAUAUUGGCUGCACCAAUUUACAGUCCCACCAGCAAU